GUGUUGCGUGAAAGGAGAGAUUAGCACUCCCCUUGAUAAGGAUGAAAGAUGUCCUAGUGGCCUUUACAACACAUACACGGUUAUGGAUAGACUUGGACCUGGGCUAGUCCGUGGCCAGUACAGAUG
This is a small nuclear RNA of Dromiciops gliroides (monito del monte), 126 nucleotides long. Lineage: Eukaryota; Metazoa; Chordata; Mammalia; Microbiotheria; Microbiotheriidae. The record is from RefSeq and is a predicted model, not a curated record.